GUAGGUGGCAAGCGUUGUCCGGAAUUAUUGGGCGUAAAGCGCGCGCAGGUGGUUCUUUAAGUCUGAUGUGAAAGCCCCCGGCUCAACCGGGGAGGGUCAUUGGAAACUGGGGAGCUUGAGUGCGGGAGAGGAAAGUGGAAUUCCACGUGUAGCGGUGAAAUGCGUAGAUAUGUGGAGGAACACCAGUGGCGAAGGCGACUUUCUGGCCUGUAACUGACACUGAGGCGCGAAAGCGUGGGGAGCAAACAGGGAUUAGAUACCCUGGUAGUCCACGCCGUAAACGAUGAGUGCUAAGUGUUGGGGGGGUUUCCCGCCCCUCAGUGCUGCAGCUAACGCAUUAAGCACUCCGCCUGGGGAGUACGGUCGCAAGACUG
This 374-nucleotide ribosomal RNA is filed under the name uncultured organism. RNAcentral describes it as "partial 16S ribosomal RNA". It matches the Rfam family "Bacterial small subunit ribosomal RNA", at positions 527 to 896 of the family's 1533-position model. The record is from RNAcentral.